UCCCAGUGAAAAAUGCCCUUACACAGUACAAACGGAGCAGGUAUCAGGCACAACUACUAGCCCAAGACACCAAGCUUUGCCACACCCACACGGGCCAUCAGCAGUGAUAGACAUUAAGCAAUAAGCGAACACACCAAAUAUUUACUAAAGCUUGACUUAGUUAUGAUUAAACAGGGCCGGUAAACCUCGUGCCAGCCACCGCGGUUAUACGAGGGGCCCAAAGCAGCAGAAUCGGCGUAAAUAGUGGCUAGAAUCUAUACCAAUAUGUUAAAAACUAAACCAUAUCCUAACCGUAAAACACAGGAUAAAUGAAACCACACACUCUUAACAACAGGUAAUUUGACCCACGAAAACUAAGAAACAAACUAGGAUUAGAUACCCUACUAUGCUUAGUCGUUAAUACGAUAUUACACUACUAAAAUAUCCGCCAGAAAACUACGAGCGAAAAGCUUAAAACUCAAAGGACUUGGCGGUGCUUCAUACCGACUUAGAGGAGCCUGUCCUAUAAUCGAUACCCCACGCUAAACCCGACCAAUCUUUGCCCAAUCAGCCUAUAUACCGCCGUCGCCAACCUACCUCAUGAGAGAAAAACAGUAAGUACAAGAGUCUCAAUAACUAAAACGUCAGGUCAAGGUGUAGCUAAUAGAAUGGAAGAGAUGGGCUACAUUUUUUAAGAUAAAACAUACGGCAUGGCACUAUGAAAUUUCUACCUGAAGGAGGAUUUAAUAGUAAAACUAACAAGAAAGUUAAUUUUAAACACG
Molecule: ribosomal RNA, 761 nt
Filed under: Sceloporus orcutti
Lineage: Eukaryota; Metazoa; Chordata; Lepidosauria; Squamata; Phrynosomatidae
Description: partial 12S ribosomal RNA
Rfam family: Bacterial small subunit ribosomal RNA
Source: RNAcentral